GACGAACGCUGGCGGCGUGCUUAACACAUGCAAGUCGAGCGGUAAGGCCCUUUCGGGGGUACACGAGCGGCGAACGGGUGAGUAACACGUGGGUGACCUGCCCUCAGCUCUGGGAUAAGCCUGGGAAACCGGGUCUAAUACUGGAUAUGACUGCAUGACGCAUGUUGUGGGGUGGAAAGCCUUGUGCGGCUGAGGAUGGGCCCGCGGCCUAUCAGCUUGUUGGUGGGGUGAUGGCCUACCAAGGCGACGACGGGUAGCCGGCCUGAGAGGGCGACCGGCCACACUGGGACUGAGACACGGCCCAGACUCCUACGGGAGGCAGCAGUGGGGAAUCUUGCGCAAUGGGCGAAAGCCUGACGCAGCGACGCCGCGUGAGGGAUGACGGCCU
Molecule: ribosomal RNA, 388 nt
Filed under: uncultured bacterium
Lineage: Bacteria
Description: bacterial SSU rRNA
Rfam family: Bacterial small subunit ribosomal RNA
Source: RNAcentral